This 553-nucleotide ribosomal RNA is filed under the name uncultured freshwater bacterium. Its description in RNAcentral is "bacterial SSU rRNA". It matches the Rfam family "Bacterial small subunit ribosomal RNA", at positions 8 to 607 of the family's 1533-position model. The record is from RNAcentral.
AGAGUUUGAUCCUGGCUCAGAACGAACGCUGGCGGCAGGCCUAACACAUGCAAGUCGAGCGAGGUAGCAAUACCUAGCGGCGGACGGGUGAGUAACGCGUGGGAACGUGCCCCUUGGUACGGAAUAGCCCCGGGAAACUGGGAGUAAUACCGUAUAAGCUCUACGGAGGAAAGAUUUAUCGCCAAGGGAUCGGCCCGCGUUGGAUUAGGUAGUUGGUGGGGUAAUGGCCUACCAAGCCGACGAUCCAUAGCUGGUUUGAGAGGAUGAUCAGCCACACUGGGACUGAGACACGGCCCAGACUCCUACGGGAGGCAGCAGUGGGGAAUCUUAGACAAUGGGGGAAACCCUGAUCUAGCCAUGCCGCGUGAUCGAUGAAGGCCUUAGGGUUGUAAAGAUCUUUCAGUGGGGAAGAUAAUGACUGUACCCACAGAAGAAGCCCCGGCUAACUCCGUGCCAGCAGCCGCGGUAAUACGGAGGGGGCUAGCGUUGUUCGGAAUUACUGGGCGUAAAGCGCACGUAGGCGGAUCAGAAAGUCAGAGGUGAAAUCCCAGGG